UGUUAAAAAUUUAUUCAUUUGUACUAUUAAAAACCAGUGUGGCAUAACCAGACAGUGACACAUGGCGUGCCACGUAAACCUCAUGUUAACGUAUAAGGGUUAGUUUUUAACCGUAAAAAUAGAUAGAAUUUAUAAUA
This is a non-coding RNA of Gossypium arboreum, 137 nucleotides long. NCBI's taxonomy places the organism in Eukaryota, Viridiplantae, Streptophyta, Magnoliopsida, Malvales, Malvaceae. The record is from Rfam.